GCUCCCCUUCACCAGCCGGCCCACAUCAACUCCCAGAGAGGAUCGAAGCUCCUAUUCCCUCAGGGUGGGGGCAGGAUGUGGGCCAGCACCGGACCCAAGACAACAGGCCCCCUCCCGAUCUGAACCCGCUGCUCAGUGUUAUCUUCCAAGCCCAAGCUAUGACCUUCCUUCUCUCCAGAGCUCCAGAAAAGGAAUGGAAUCUGAACAUUGAGACGCUUUUCUGGCCUAAACAAUCCUUUCAUUCUCUAGGCUCAAUGAUGGGUCUAUUUCCUCCUGUAAAUGGGUCUCGUAAUCUUCAACUUUUACCUUUGCUUCUAAGGGUAAUUAAUUGGAUCUCCCUCUUGUUCUCCCUACACACUCCCCUCUCUGUUACAAGGCUCAGGUUCACCCGAGUGGAUGGCUUUUCUUUCUUUCUAUUCCACGGAGUGCUCAUUUUUAAAGCUGAUGGAGUAAGGCCUUGCCCUCUCCAGUGAACCUCUUCUCCAGAGAAGCCUGCUGGGGAAACACCACUUCCGCAGGCCUAGGAAAGCUGCUCUGCCCCGCCGAGGGCUUUUCAGAUAGUGAGGCCUGAGCCGCCAUUUCACUUUUUCUUCCCAGAUUGUUCCUGAAUAUUUGGAUAUUUAUUCUUCCAUGAAUAUGCAAACAUCUAUCAGAUAGCAAAGUCCUGCAGUCCCAUAUUAACAGAUGCUGAUGAGGGGUUGAAGAAACAGUGGUAGGAAGAUAUAUUAAUACAGCUACUUUCAAAAGCAGUUUUGUGCUGCAGAUUCAAAUCCCUUAUCUGCAAUUCAGAAAUAAAGCCAAAACAAAACAAAACAAAAACCCUGAUAACU
Long non-coding RNA from Canis lupus familiaris (dog), 830 nucleotides. RefSeq lists it as uncharacterized. The transcript has 3 exons. NCBI's taxonomy places the organism in Eukaryota, Metazoa, Chordata, Mammalia, Carnivora, Canidae. The record is from RefSeq and is a predicted model, not a curated record.